AUUGAACGCUGGCGGCAUGCCUUACACAUGCAAGUCGAACGGCAGCGGACCUUCGGGUGCCGGCGAGUGGCGAACGGGUGAGUAAUAUAUCGGAACGUACCUUUCAGUGGGGGAUAACGUAGCGAAAGUUACGCUAAUACCGCAUAUUCUGUGAGCAGGAAAGCAGGGGAUCGCAAGACCUUGCGCUGAUUGAGCGGCCGAUAUCAGAUUAGCUAGUUGGUGGGGUAAAGGCCUACCAAGGCUACGAUCUGUAGCGGGUCUGAGAGGAUGAUCCGCCACACUGGAACUGAGACACGGUCCAGACUCCUACGGGAGGCAGCAGUGGGGAAUUUUGGACAAUGGGGGCAAGCCUGAUCCAGCCAUGCCGCGUGAGUGAAGAAGGCCCUGGUUGUAAAGCUCUUUCGGUCCGGGAGGAAAUACGCACAGGUUAAUACCCUGUGUGGAUGACGGUACCGGAAUAAGAAGACACCGGCUAAC
Molecule: ribosomal RNA, 477 nt
Filed under: uncultured bacterium
Lineage: Bacteria
Description: bacterial SSU rRNA
Rfam family: Bacterial small subunit ribosomal RNA
Source: RNAcentral